ACAGUGCCAGCGAGAGGACGUACUUUGCGUAACGUCCUCGCCAAAAGAGAAAAUAAAAGAAUCGAAUCAAUUUGUGCUUCAAGUGACGGCGUCAUCUGUCCAAGAAGUGUUGGUGUAAAGCGUAUAAACAGUGAAUAGUGCAAGUCUAGCCGUGAAUAUUUUAACUUUUCAUUGAGACUGCAGCAAAACGCCUGCAGCACUGUGAAGUAGGUCACAAAAACGCGCGCGCCACAAGAUGGCGGACGACGAGCAAUUUUCCUUGUGUUGGAACAAUUUCAACACAAAUCUCUCGGCUGGAUUCCAUGAAUCCCUCAUCCGGGGCGACCUGGUGGACGUAACGUUGGCCGCCGAGGGCCAACUAGUUAAGGCACACAGACUCAUCCUUUCAGUAUGCUCACCGUAUUUCCGGAAGAUGUUCACCCAGAUGCCGGCCAACCAGCACGCAUUCAUCUUUCUGAAGGACGUAAGUCAUUCGGCCCUGAAGGAUCUCAUCCAGUUUAUGUACUGCGGGGAGGUAAACGUGAAGCAGGAUGCUCUGCCAGCGUUUAUCAGUACAGCGGAAGCGCUACAAAUUAAAGGACUGACUGAAUCGGGAGAAAGCGCACCCCCACAUCAAUCACCCGCCAAAGAAACCUCCCAUCACAUAGUAUCGAGUAUGGUCAGCAUUCCAUCGAAUGCAUCCUCUCCCCGGGCGAAACCCAUCCAGAGGACGCGAAUCCAGUCGUACAAACCCGACUCGGAGGACGGAAGCGACCACGAGAAGAUAGUACAAAUCCAAGCCCAAUCCACCCCGAUCGUCGCAGCAAGCAGUAGCAGUAGUGGCCAAAGUGCAACCAUCGUCACCCAAGUCACCGCCGCCCCGCAACAGAUUCAGAUUCUGCAGCAGACAGCUCAGAAACGAACGAUUACGCAACGAGCCUCGAUUACCCCGCAAACGACCCAGAUCAUGAAACGAGCUAAACUGUCCGACCCGUUGGAAGCCACGGAACCGACUCAGAUUCAAACCGUGCAAAUUGUCAAACAAAUCACGCCGACGCCUCAGCCAUCGAUUAGCUCUGAACCGGAAUAUGUCGAAAUGCCAAUCGAAACGAUCAACCCUAAGGCAGAACCGGAAUAUGCUGAUGAUCCAUCGGAAGUCGAGGCCAUCGAUACGGAACACGAACAGGAACAGGCUCUAGCGGAACACGAAACAGACCAUGAUCAGGGCGCGGAUGAUUCUGCAAACUAUGUGGAAGACGAAACGUAUGGUGACAUGAGCAAAUAUGACGAAACAUACUUUACCGAGGGUGACGAUGCUAAGGCCGGGGCCUCUGGAUUUGGCACGGAAUCAUACACGGAAGGAACAUCGACAGACCAGGCCGCACAAGGAACAACGCCUACCGAUCGGAAGCAGCGUGUGUUUAUUGUCCAAGUGGCCCCCGAAUCGUACUUGAAGCAUGAAAUCAUCGGUACCGGAAUAUCGGGUCUCGGAAUGCAUCAAAAGUCGUCGCCGGUUGUCAACGACGAUGCUCGCGAGGAAGAAGAUCCAGAUGUAUCCAGCCUCGUGAUUCAUCGCCCAUCGCGAAAAGCCACCACCAAAGCCAUCAAAGCUGAUCGCGUCAGAGAAAGUGACGAGGGCAGCGACAUACACGAUCGUUCUGUGAAAGGAUUCACCUUUCCCCUUCAAACACCAGCCGAUGUUGAACUUUUGGAGAUGGCAAUACGUGGCCAACCGACCGUCAAACGUCAGUAUAUCGAUUUGCUGCGCAAAACGCAUAUGAACCACCCAAAACCCCAGGUGGCUUUCUUGAAACUAUUCACGGACAAUGCGCUGGCGAGUUUCAACUACAGUGGCCGUUGUAACUUUUCCGGUGAAAAGAAAUUUGCCAUGAAGGAUUACUGGGUGUUUACCGAAUGUGUUUACGAAGCCUGGUCGGAUUUUGAGAAACCAGCGGAUGUCCAACGUCAUCUCUCAAGCGCCAUCACCUUGGUCAACACUCGCAUCCGGGGGGCUCGAUUCCGCCACCGGAAAAAGAAAACUAACGAAUGAAAUUGAAAAAUCUUCUCAAUCUAAUAAAAGGGUUUAGAUUUGCUACUGAGUGUCGAAUCGUUUUAUUGACUUCUAUGUGCAUUUCUUCAUACAAGACAUUAUUAACGAACCUCCGUUCAACUAAUUCGUUAACAAUUACUUUUCAGGGAAGGAAGUUCUUAAAAUAAAAAACCGUAUUGCCUCUCUGAGACGUUUGGGAACCAUCGAUUCGACCAGGAUGAUAAUGGAGCUGCAGAAAAAAGUAGAUCAAAUGAUACGUCCGUGAACGUUUCGGUGGUUUUCGGGUUACAAUGUUGUACAGUAGAUAUUUUGUUCAGUAGAUUUCUGAUAAUUUUUUAAACAUUUGAUUAAACAAUGAGUAACAAGGACUCAGAGCGAAAGUAGCUUUCGAAAAGUACUAAAGUAUUUUUCUUUCAACAUAUGUAUCAAACCAAAUAAAAUUCCAGUUGCCUGAAAAUCCGAUUGAUUAUUAAUCGUACAAAGAAGCUCAACCUGUUGUUUAACACCCAUUGCUAAUACAGGUGAUCUGUUUCGAAUUUGUUUUAGAUUUUUACUCGGCGGAAGAGGAACGCGAUUAUAGAAGUUUUUUUCCAAGAAAAAACCCAUUCCACCUUGCCGGUUUAGAGACAAUCACAAACGAGCUAGCAGCGUAUGGAAUACAUUUUCCACUACAAACUGAUGAAGAAGUGGAAGCACUCGAGGCCGCCGUUCGAGACAAUCCGGACAUUCAAGAGAAAUAUAUUACAUACCUACGCAAAUGCAAGUCGCCCCGCAUGAACAUAACCAGCGCAUUUCCGUUCGUCUUUAGCGAUGAGUCACUGCUGAACUUCAACUACCACGGUAUGACGAAUCGGUCCAAAAUCCACAAGAAGAAAGCCAUGCGAGAUUAUAUCAUUUUUACCAACUGCUUACUCGCCGCCUGGCGAAACGACGGCUUGAACGAGGACAACCUGAGAGCCACAAUCACCAAAAUCAUAUCCCGGUUGAAUCAUAAAUUACGAACGCGUGGCUACCGGCAAAAAACGAUACCAGAUCCGUUUCAAUAUGAUGUGCUCGAAGAAAACGAGUGACCAAUAAAAGCGUUGUUUAAAUUUAGAA
Molecule: RNA transcript, 3127 nt
Organism: Uranotaenia lowii
Lineage: Eukaryota; Metazoa; Arthropoda; Insecta; Diptera; Culicidae
Gene name: modifier of mdg4-like
Exons: 10
Source: RefSeq, a predicted model, not a curated record